This 2573-nucleotide small RNA is filed under the name Pongo abelii (Sumatran orangutan). RNAcentral's name for it is "retained intron". Lineage: Eukaryota; Metazoa; Chordata; Mammalia; Primates; Hominidae. The record is from RNAcentral.
UAGGUAGCCAGGUCAGGGGUCAAGAGCGGAACACCCUCACUGGCCCGGGCCGGCGCGGGAGGGCUGUGUGAUGGCCUCGGAGCGCCCCGAGCCGGAGGUGGAAGAAGCUGGGCAGGUGUUCCUGUUAAUGAAAAAGGAUUAUCGAAUCUCCCGAAAUGUUCGCCUGGCUUGGUUCCUCAGUCAUCUGCACCAAACUGUGCAGGCCACACCCCAGGAGAUGCUGCUUCAGUCUGAACAGGAAUUGGAAGUCCUCAGUGUCCUGCCCCCUGGGUGGCAGCCAGAUGAACCAGUGGUCCCAAGGCCAUUCCUCCUUGUACCUUCCACCCGGGUCACCUUCCUGGCUUGGCAGUAUCGGUUUGUCAUUGAGCUGGACCUUAGCCCAUCUACUGGCAUUGUGGUAAAGGAUUGAAGGGAGACUGUGGGAAGAAAGGAUGGGGUGGGGUGUGAGGAGAGGGAGAGGCCUGCGGGGAAGUGAAAAAUGGUCCCAGCCUGCCAUUUUGGAGAGAAGACAGGCUUAUAAAGGAAUGUUGGGUGUUUAAAAACAGAACUGGGCCAGCUGUGGUGGCUCAUGCCUGCAAUCCCAGUGCUUUGGGAAGCCGAGGCGGGCUGAUUGCUCGAGCUCAGGAGUUCAAGACUAGCCUGGGCCACAUGGCAAAACUCCCUCUCUAUAAAAAAUACAAAUAUUAGCCAGGCAUGCUGGCAUGCACCUGUCCUAGCUACUCGGGAAGCUGAGGUGGGAGGAUUGCUUGAGCCCAGGAGGUCGAGGCUACAGUGAGCCGGGAUCAGGGCCACUGUGCUGUAGCGUGGGCAACAAAGCAAGACCCUGGUUUUGUUGUUUUUGGUUCCAAAAAACACCCAAGAAACUGUUCCAUGUGUGGCACUGUAUUUGGGUGUGUGAUCAGCCAUAAGUUAAGUGUCCUACUGACCCAUGGAAGCUGCAUGUUUCUGCCCUCUGGUUAGGGCUGCCUUUGGACCCCCUUGAGUGCUCUUUCUCUGCCCUCAGGAUGAUUCCACAGGGGAGAUCUUGUUUGAUGAAGUUUUCCAUGCCCUGUCCCGCUGCCUAGGCGGGCUGCUUCGGCCCUUCCGAGUGCCUGGAUCUUGCAUCGACUUCCAGCCUGAGAUCUACGUAACUAUCCAGGCCUACUCCUCCAUCAUUGGACUGCAGUCCCACCAGGUAUUGCAUCAUCUCUCCAAGUUUGUACCCUCAGACCAAAUUUCUGUUAGUCCUCUGACCAAGUCCUUAUCCUGUCUCUGCUGUUUGUCCCCAAAGUCCCGAGCUCUGCUGGCUUCUUGAACCUGUUUUCUAGUCAUCCUCAUGAGUCUCUCUCCCCUUGAGAAGAACCAGUUCCUCUGGACUUAAAGGGCUUUCCUAUAGACUUCGGGUCAGUUGGUGUUGAUUGGACAACUGCCUUUUUCACCGCUCUUGUAAAUCUCUUUGGUUCUGACCACUGGAUGUCUGUUUUCUCCGUUCCCCUCUUCUCCUUUAGUUCUAUUGGAUGGUUUGCUGAUGUGCUGGCUCUGGCUAGUACCCUCACGAGAUGGUCUUUUGGAAUAGUUUUGUGAUUUUGAAAGACAGCAAAUAACCCAGAAAUAUAAUUGGUUUCAAGGAUAGUGGAGGGUCAUUUUUCGUUGUUAUUUUUUUUGAGACGGAGUUUCGCUCUUUUCGCCCAGGCUGGAGUGCAAUGGCACAAUCUCGGCUCACUGCAACCUCCGCCUCCUGAGUUCAAGCGAUUCUCCUGCCUCAGCCUCCCGAGUAGCUGGGAUUAUAGGCGCUUACCACCAGGCCCAGUUUAUUUAUUUAUUUAUUUAUGUUAGUAGAGACAGGGUUUCGUCGUGUUGGCCAGGCUGGUCUUGAACUCUCGACCUCAGGUGAUCUGCCCGCCUCGGCCUCCCAAAGUGCUAGGAUUACAGGUGUGAGCCACUGUGCCCAGCAUGGGUCAUUUUUUUUUGAGGGCCGUGUGAACUGUUGAGUAUAAUGCUGACCACACAGAUAAUUACAGGGCUUAUCCAGCACUCAAGGAGGCUAUCACAAGACACUCCUUUUGGAGAAUGGCCAAGUCUGUUACUGGAAUAUCUGUUUUUGACUUAGAUAAGCACUGACCCAGUUUCCCCUCAUCUGCUUUUAACUACCCUUAACUCAUUGGUAAAGGCUUUCCCUGAAACUGUCCCUGAUGGCUGCAUUGUCACCUAAGCUAGCAAACUGGAUUUGAGAGAUAAAAUAUUGGGAACAUGAUCUAAGGGUCUGAAACAUACAGCAACAAAAUUGGUGCAUACCUGGAUCCCAGGGCAGGGAUUGCCAGCCCUCUGCCCUAGUUUAAAGUGCUUUCCUAGUAUAGCCGUCAGGACUAUCAGUUGUGGGCUGCAUCCCCACAUAGGGGUCAGGUUUUGCAGGCACUGAUAGCCAAGGCAGGGAGAGCAUGGAUGUUAGGUAAUCACUCAAAACUUGGUUCAGGUUGGCAAACACUUAAUGAAGCCUGAUCUAUACCAGGCCUGAGCAGGUCCCGAAGACACAGUUGAAUCAGACCUUGUGUUUCUCCUGAUGGGAAGAGUUGAGAUUUUAAUGGGGGGAGAUA